UACGUAGGGUGCGAGCGUUAAUCGGAAUUACUGGGCGUAAAGUGUGCGCAGGCGGCCGCGCAAGUCGAGUGUGAAAGCCCCGGGCUUAACUUGGGAAUUGCGCUCGAAACUACGUGGCUGGAGUGUGGCAGAGGAAGGUGGAAUUCCAGGUGUAGCGGUGAAAUGCGUAGAUAUCUGGAAGAACACCGGUGGCGCAAGCGGAUUGCUGGGCCAUAACUGACACUGAGGAACGAAAGCUAGGGGAGCGAAUGGG
Molecule: ribosomal RNA, 253 nt
Filed under: uncultured bacterium
Lineage: Bacteria
Description: partial 16S ribosomal RNA
Rfam family: Bacterial small subunit ribosomal RNA
Source: RNAcentral